Molecule: long non-coding RNA, 3300 nt
Filed under: Homo sapiens (human)
Lineage: Eukaryota; Metazoa; Chordata; Mammalia; Primates; Hominidae
Description: HSALNT0110005
Source: RNAcentral
UUUAUUUGUUGUCCCUUUGUCAAAGACUGUAUUUUCUAUUGGGACAGAAUUGAUGUGUUCUCAAUUUAUAUAUUCUUCAUAUAUUCAGAAGAUAAUUUUUUACUUAGUGGUCCACUGAACAAGUUAUAUAUUUCAAGAAUAAAAGUCUCACAAAACUCUAGCAAAUUUAAUUCCUUCAAGACUAAAGACGGGAAAAACUAGGGUGUAUUAGAUUUUAUUGCAAUAGUUCUUAAAAGCAAAGAUUUUGAUCUAUCUCUAAUGCUAUACGAGAAGAAGAACCAGUAUCAAGAUACAUAAGAAAGAAGUGAAAACAAGAGUAAGGAGUUGAAUAUAUAUGUAUAGGAGUAUAUGUUUUAUUAAGCUAAAACCUUUUAAAACCAUCAUAUCCUAACACAAAUAAUUUAGAAUUAAAAUUGCUUCUUGGUAUGACAUUCACAUAGGAGAUUUAUAUUUGUUUAAGGAUACCAAACAGCCAAAUUAGACUUGAAGGGAUUUAUGCCUAAGUCUGAAGUUAUUUAGGACAUAAUAAAUUAAUAACUACAUACCGACACAUAAUCAUGUUAUAGGUCAGGAAGAUAGACUUUCUACUUCGGACAAUUUUCUCUAUGUCAGGAGGAGAACUGUGCUAGAAAUGGCGAUGGUUGAUGUCUUUGUCUUUCUAACUAUAUGGUUUCAAAACUUGUUUUAAAGCAUGGUAGUCUUCAUCAUUGUUGUAGCUAACUCCUACAGGAAAAUAUGAGCAAACUUAGGUAUAAUACAAAAAUAAAUAUAGGCUGUAAUAGUGAAUUUUAGGUUUCAACUGACUAGAUGCCCAAAUACCUGGUUAAACAUUAUUUCUGGGUCUGUGAGGGUGUUUCUGGAGGAGAUUAGCAUUUGAGAUGAGGAACUAAACAAUGUAGUUGGUCCUCACCAGUGUGGCUGGGCAUCAUCCAAUACACUGAGGGCCUAAAUAGAAGAGAAAGUGGGAGGAAGGGAGGAAUCACACUCUUGCCUGACUGCGUGAGUGGGGAUGACCACCUUCUGCUUCUGGCACUCUUAGUGAGAGGUGAAGCUGCUGGGCUUCUGGGUCGGGUUGGGACUUGGAGAACUUUUCUGUCUAGCUAAAGGAUUCUAAACAGAUCAGUCAGCACUCUGUGUCCAGCUAAAGGUUUGUAAAUGCACCAAUCAGCACUCUGUGAAAAUGCACCAAUGAAUGCUCUGUGUCUAGCUAAAGGUUUGUAAACGCACCAAUCAGCACUCUGUAAAAACGCACUAAUCAGUGCUCUGUGUCUAGCUAAAGGUUUGUAAAUGCGUCAGUCAGCACUCUGUAAAAAGGGACCAAUCAGCACUCUGUGAAAUGGACCAAUCAUUGCUCUGUAAAAUGGACCAAUCAGCAGGACAUGGGCGGGGCCAAAUAAGGGAAUAAAAGCUGGCAACCCAAGCCUGCGCUGGCAACCUACUCGGGUUCCCUUCCAUGGUGUGGAAGCUUAGUUCUUUUGCUAUUCACAGUAAAUCUUGCUGUUCCUCGCUCUUUGGGUCCGCACUACCUUUCUGAGCUGUAACACUCACUGCGAAGGUCUGAGGCUUCACUCCUGAAGUUAGCAAGACCGCAAACCCACCAGGAGGAACAAACGAUUCUGGACGUGCCACCUUUAAGAGCUGUAACACUCACUGCCAAGGUCUGCGGCUUCACUCCUGAAGUCAAGUGAGACCACGAACCCACCGGAAGGAAGAAACUCCAGACACAUCUGAACAUCUGAAGGAAAAAACUCUGGACAAACCAUCUUUAAGAACUGUAACACUCACUGCGAAGGUCUGAGGCUUCACUCCUGAAGUCAGCAAGACCACGAACCCACCAGGAGCAACAAAUGACUCUGGACGCACCACCUUUUAAGAGCUGUAACACUCACUGCCAAGGUCCCUGGCUUCAUUCUUGAAGUCAGUGAGACCAAGAACCCACUGGAAGGAACUAAUUCUAGACAUGCUAGUUCCCAGAUCCUGUUUCUCUGGAGAGGCCUAACUAAUACAUAGACAAAGCCAAAUGACUUUUUCCCCUCUCUGAACUUUGAUAUUCUUUAAACAUUUCCAGCUAGUUCUUUUAAUAUUUCUUGAGGAUUUCCUGGGAUUUUUUUUUUGGUAAAUACUGUAUUUCACCAGCUACUCCUUCAAGAACAUAGUCGUCAUAUGCUUUAUUAUCCAUGAAGAUUAUUAGUGAACCCACAGUUCGUUUGUCAAAAUGACUCUAAAUUCGUGAUAUUCAGAUGAUCACACUCCAUAAUACUGCCACCAGAGCCAAGUUAUUGGAGUUACUACUUUUUAUGAUCAGCACAAUUAUUUUUCUAUGAAAGAAUUGUUGGUAUUAAAAGGGCCACAGUAGACUAUUUGCUAUUGAAUGAUUGUUGGUUAGUACUUAAUUAAAACAAAAAUGUUUUUUAUAGCUACUUAACUCCAAGUUCCAUCUUUUCCAUCUCUAGAAGUACAUAAGCCUUUUCGUUGAAAUAACACAUUUUUCUGAAGUAGAACAUGAUUAUUGUUAAGAAAUAUAAAAAUGGCCUUUAAUCUCACCAUUUAAGAUAGAAAGCUUUUCAUUUUUUCUAUGAACAUAUGUUUUAGAAAUUUAUAUGACAAAAUAUAUGACGUGAUAUAUUUCUGUUUUAUUCUUAAGUAAUAUUGGACUAUUGGGCUAUAUUAUCAUAAGUUUUUCUUUUCUUUUCUUUUCUUUUUUUUUAUUUUUGAGACAGUUUCACUCUUUUUGCCCAGGCUGGAGUGCAAUGGCACAAUCUGGGCUCACUGCACCCUCCGCCUCCUUCCUGCCUCAGGCUGCCAUGUAGCUGGGAUUAUAGGUACCUGCCACCACGCCCAGCUAAUCUUUGGUAUUUUUCAUAGAGACAGGGUUUCACAGUGUUGGCCAGGAUGAUCUCGAUCUCUUGACCUCGUGAUCCACCUGCCCUAGUCUCCCUAAGUGCUGGGAUUACAGGCGUGAGCCACCGUGCCCGGCCUAUCAUAAGUUUUUCGAAAACGGUUGUUUGUGGCUAAAUAAUAGUUCUGACAUAUUAAUACUAGCUUUUCACCAUUAUUAUAUGUAUGAUAAAUAGUAACAAAACAAAAUGACUGAAUUUUCCUGUGCUUGUAUUGUUAUCAUUAUUGUGGAUUUAAUCGUUUGCCAAAAAUUUUCAAAUUAUUGCUGGCUCGUAAGGAAAUUAAGAGAACUCUUGAUAGUGUAUAUUUAUUUUGUGACUAGCCACUUUAAUUAGUGAUCCUAAUGAUUUUUUAUUUUCCAGUUGAUUCUCCCGUGCCUCGGGAAAAAAUAAAAUAAUUUAC